This 253-nucleotide ribosomal RNA is filed under the name uncultured bacterium. RNAcentral's name for it is "partial 16S ribosomal RNA". It matches the Rfam family "Bacterial small subunit ribosomal RNA", at positions 524 to 776 of the family's 1533-position model. The record is from RNAcentral.
UACGUAGGGUGCAAGCGUUGUCCGGAAUUAUUGGGCGUAAAGAGCUCGUAGGCGGUUUGUCACGUCUGCUGUGAAAACUCGGGGCUUAACUCCGGGCCUGCAGUGGGUACGGGCAGACUAGAGUGCGGUAGGGGAGACUGGAAUUCCUGGUGUAGCGGUGAAAUGCGCAGAUAUCAGGAGGAACACCGGUGGCGAAGGCGGAUCUCUGGGCCAUUACUGACGCUGAGGAGCGAAAGCGUGGGGAGCGAACAGG